This is a transfer RNA of Pan troglodytes (chimpanzee), 72 nucleotides long. It matches the Rfam family "tRNA". Rfam says of the family: Transfer RNA (tRNA) molecules are approximately 80 nucleotides in length. The record is from Rfam. Lineage: Eukaryota; Metazoa; Chordata; Mammalia; Primates; Hominidae.
UAGAUUGAAGCCACUUGAUUAGGGUGUUUAGCUGUUAACUAAAUUUUCGUGGGUUUAAUUCCAUCAAUCUAG